This 75-nucleotide transfer RNA is filed under the name Sporolactobacillus sp. THM7-7. Its description in RNAcentral is "tRNA-Glu". It matches the Rfam family "tRNA". Rfam says of the family: Transfer RNA (tRNA) molecules are approximately 80 nucleotides in length. Their secondary structure includes four short double-helical elements and three loops (D, anti-codon, and T loops). The record is from RNAcentral. Lineage: Bacteria; Bacillati; Bacillota; Bacilli; Caryophanales; Sporolactobacillaceae.
AGGGCGUUGGGCAAGUGGUUAAGCCAAUGGAUUCUCAUUCCAUGAUCGCGGGUUCAAUUCCCGUACGCCCUCCUA